CGGCGCGCUUAAUGCAUGCAAGUCGAGCGAUGAGGUCUCUUCGGGGGGCACAUCAGCGGCAGACGGGUGAGUAACACGUAGGUAACCUACCCCAGAGACAGGGAUAACGCGAGGAAACGAGGGCUAAUACCGGAUGACCUCCGGAAGGAGGAAAGGCUCAGGCGCUCUGGGAGGGGCUUGCGGCCCAUCAGCUAGUUGGUAGGGUAAAGGCCUACCAAGGCGAAGACGGGUAGGGGGUGUGAGAGCACGGCCCCCCACAAUGGGACUGAAACACGGCCCAUACUCCUACGGGAGGCAGCAGCAGGGAAUAUUGCACAAUAGGCGAAAGCCUGAUGCAGCGACGCCGCGUGAGUGAAGAAGGCCUUCGGGUCGUAAAGCUCUUUUGUAGGGGAAGAGGAAGGACGGUACCCUAAGAAGAAGCGUCGGCUAACUACGUGCCAGCAGCCGCGGUAAGACGUAGGACGCGAGCGUUAUCCGGAAUUACUGGGCGUAAAGGGCCAGCAGGCGGCUUGGUAAGUUGUGCGUGAAAGCCUCGUGCUCAACGCGAGGAAGCCGGACAAUACUGUCAAGCUAGAGGGCAUCAGAGGGGAGUGGAAUUCCCGGAGUAGCGGUAAAAUGCGCAGAUAUCGGGAGGAACACCGAUGGCGAAGGCAGCUCCCUGGGAUGCACCUGACGC
Molecule: ribosomal RNA, 676 nt
Filed under: uncultured organism
Description: bacterial SSU rRNA
Rfam family: Bacterial small subunit ribosomal RNA
Source: RNAcentral